Molecule: small nucleolar RNA, 84 nt
Organism: Lactuca sativa (garden lettuce)
Lineage: Eukaryota; Viridiplantae; Streptophyta; Magnoliopsida; Asterales; Asteraceae
Product: small nucleolar RNA R11/Z151
Source: RefSeq, a predicted model, not a curated record
GAGCUUAUGAUGAUACUUUUAAUUAUCUUAGCGGAUUUCAGUGAGAUUGAAUCAAUGAUCUGAUUGUUACACACACUGAGGCUC